Molecule: ribosomal RNA, 954 nt
Filed under: uncultured bacterium
Lineage: Bacteria
Description: bacterial SSU rRNA
Rfam family: Bacterial small subunit ribosomal RNA
Source: RNAcentral
UAAAAUUGGUGGGGGGGCUUAACACAUGCAAGUUCGAGCGGGCGUAGCAAUACGUCAGCGGCAGACGGGUGAGUAACGCGUGGAAACGUACCUUUUGGUUCGGAACAACACAGGGAAACUUGUGCUAAUACCGGAUAAGCCCUUACGGGGAAAGAUUUAUCGCCGAAAGAUCGGCCCGCGUCUGAUUAGCUAGUUGGUGAGGUAAUGGCUCACCAAGGCGACGAUCAGUAGCUGGUCUGAGAGGAUGAUCAGCCACAUUGGGACUGAGACACGGCCCAAACUCCUACGGGAGGCAGCAGUGGGGAAUAUUGGACAAUGGGCGCAAGCCUGAUCCAGCCAUGCCGCGUGAGUGAUGAAGGCCCUAGGGUUGUAAAGCUCUUUUGUGCGGGAAGAUAAUGACGGUACCGCAAGAAUAAGCCCCGGCUAACUUCGUGCCAGCAGCCGCGGUAAUACGAAGGGGGCUAGCGUUGCUCGGAAUCACUGGGCGUAAAGGGUGCGUAGGCGGGUCUUUAAGUCAGGGGUGAAAUCCUGGAGCUCAACUCCAGAACUGCCUUUGAUACUGAGGAUCUUGAGUUCGGGAGAGGUGAGUGGAACUGCGAGUGUAGAGGUGAAAUUCGUAGAUAUUCGCAAGAACACCAGUGGCGAAGGCGGCUCACUGGCCCGAUACUGACGCUGAGGCACGAAAGCGUGGGGAGCAAACAGGAUUAGAUACCCUGGUAGUCCACGCCGUAAACGAUGAAUGCCAGCCGUUAGUGGGUUUACUCACUAGUGGCGCAGCUAACGCUUUAAGCAUUCCGCCUGGGGAGUACGGUCGCAAGAUUAAAACUCAAAGAAUUUGACGGGGGCCGCACAAGCGGUGGCAGCAUGUGUUUUAUUUCGAACGCACGUGCAGAUCUACCAGCCAUGGACAUCCUGUCCGACUCGAAGACCGGAAUUCUUUUCACAGAUCUACUG